GACGAACGCUGGCGGCGUGCUUAACACAUGCAAGUCGAGCGGUAAGGCCCUUUCGGGGGUACACGAGCGGCGAACAGGUGAGUAACACGUGGGUGACCUGCCCUCAGCUCUGGGAUAAGCCUGGGAAACCGGGUCUAAUACUGGAUAUGACUCCAUGACGCAUGUUGUGGGGUGGAAAGCCUUGUGCGGCUGAGGAUGGGCCCGCGGCCUAUCAGCUUGUUGGUGGGGUGAUGGCCUACCAAGGCGACGACGGGUAGCCGGCCUGAGAGGGCGACCGGCCACACUGGGACUGAGACACGGCCCAGACUCCUACGGGAGGCAGCAGUGGGGAAUCUUGCGCAAUGGGCGAAAGCCUGACGCAGCGACGCCGCGUGAGGGAUGACGGCCUCGG
This 391-nucleotide ribosomal RNA is filed under the name uncultured bacterium. RNAcentral's name for it is "bacterial SSU rRNA". It matches the Rfam family "Bacterial small subunit ribosomal RNA", at positions 28 to 420 of the family's 1533-position model. The record is from RNAcentral.